GAGGCAGCAGUGAGGAAUAUUGGUCAAUGGACGAGAGUCUGAACCAGCCAAGUAGCGUGCAGGAUGACGGCCCUAUGGGUUGUAAACUGCUUUUAUAAGGGAAUAAAGUGAGAGUCGUGACUCUUUUUGCAUGUACCUUAUGAAUAAGGACCGGCUAAUUCCGUGCCAGCAGCCGCGGUAAUACGGAAGGUCCGGGCGUUAUCCGGAUUUAUUGGGUUUAAAGGGAGCGUAGGCCGGAGAUUAAGCGUGUUGUGAAAUGUAGAUGCUCAACAUCUGCACUGCAGCGCGAACUGGUUUCCUUGAGUACGCACAAAGUGGGCGGAAUUCGUGGUGUAGCGGUGAAAUGCUUAGAUAUCACGAAGAACUCCGAUUGCGAAGGCAGCUCACUGGAGCGCAACUGACGCUGAAGCUCGAAAGUGCGGGUAUCGAACAGGAUUAGAUACCCUGGUAGUCCGCACGGUAAACGAUGGAUGCCCGCUGUUGGUCUGAAUAGGUCAGCGGCCAAGCGAAAGCAUUAAGCAUCCCACCUGGGGAGUACGCCGGCAACGGUGCAACUCAAAGGAAUUGACGGA
This 572-nucleotide ribosomal RNA is filed under the name uncultured organism. RNAcentral's name for it is "bacterial SSU rRNA". It matches the Rfam family "Bacterial small subunit ribosomal RNA", at positions 345 to 917 of the family's 1533-position model. The record is from RNAcentral.